AGAACGAACGCUGGCGGCAUGCCUAAUACAUGCAAGUCGAACGAACUCUUCGGAGUUAGUGGCGCACGGGUGCGUAACGCGUGGGAAUCUGCCCCUUGGUUCGGAAUAACAGUUGGAAACGACUGCUAAUACCGGAUGAUGACGAAAGUCCAAAGAUUUAUCGCCAAGGGAUGAGCCCGCGUAGGAUUAGCUAGUUGGUGAGGUAAGCUCACCAAGGCAACGAUCCUUAGCUGGUCUGAGAGGAUGAUCAGCCACACUGGGACUGAGACACGGCCCAGACUCCUACGGGAGCAGCAGUAGGGAAUAUUGGACAAGUGGGACAAAGCCUGAUCCAGCAAUGCCGCGUGAGUGAUGGAAGGCGUUAGGUGUAAAGCUUCGUUUACCGAG
RNAcentral lists this ribosomal RNA (387 nucleotides) under uncultured soil bacterium. RNAcentral's name for it is "bacterial SSU rRNA". It matches the Rfam family "Bacterial small subunit ribosomal RNA", at positions 26 to 444 of the family's 1533-position model. The record is from RNAcentral.